CUACGGGGUGCUGCAGUGAGGAAUAUUGCACAAUGGGGGGAACCCUGAUGCAGCAACGCCGCGUGGAGGAUGACGCAUUUCGGUGUGUAAACUCCUUUUAUAUGUCAAGAAAAUGACGGUAGCAUAUGAAUAAGCACCGGCUAACUCCGUGCCAGCAGCCGCGGUAAUACGGAGGGUGCAAGCGUUACUCGGAAUCACUGGGCGUAAAGGACGCGUAGGCGGGUUGGAAAGUCAGGUGUGAGAUCCUACAGCUUAACUGUAGAACUGCACUUGAAACUUCUAAUCUAGAGUAUGGGAGGGGGAGAGGGAAUUAGUGGUGUAGGGGUAAAAUCCGUAGAUAUCACUAGGAAUACCUAAAGCGAAGGCGAUCUCCUGGAACAUUACUGACGCUAAGGCGUGAAAGCGUGGGGAGCAAACAGGAUUAGAUACCCGGGUAGUC
This 439-nucleotide ribosomal RNA is filed under the name uncultured bacterium. RNAcentral describes it as "partial 16S ribosomal RNA". It matches the Rfam family "Bacterial small subunit ribosomal RNA", at positions 339 to 795 of the family's 1533-position model. The record is from RNAcentral.